This 490-nucleotide ribosomal RNA is filed under the name uncultured bacterium. RNAcentral's name for it is "partial 16S ribosomal RNA". It matches the Rfam family "Bacterial small subunit ribosomal RNA", at positions 28 to 507 of the family's 1533-position model. The record is from RNAcentral.
GAUGAACGCUCGCUACAGGCUUAACACAUGCAAGUCGAGGGGAAACGAUGAGAGAGCUUGCUCUCUUAGGCGUCGACCGGCGCACGGGUGAGUAACGCGUAUCCAACCUACCCAUUACAGGGGGAUAACCUUGCGAAAGUAAGACUAAUACCCCAUGGCAUUUUAUGGUGGCAUCAUUAUAGGAUUAAAGAUUUAUUGGUAAUGGAUGGGGAUGCGUCUGAUUAGCUUGUUGGCGGGGUAACGGCCCACCAAGGCAACGAUCAGUAGGGGUUCUGAGAGGAAGGGCCCCCACAUUGGAACUGAGACACGGUCCAAACUCCUACGGGAGGCAGCAGUGAGGAAUAUUGGUCAAUGGGCGAGAGCUUGAACCAGCCAAGUAGCGUGCAGGAUGACGGCCCUAUGGGUUGUAAACUGCUUUUAUAGGGGAAUAAAGUGAGCUACGUGUAGUUUAUUGCAUGUACCCUAUGAAUAAGGACCGGCUAAUUCCGUG